AUGGAAUGUGUUUCAUCAGUGAAAUAUUCUGUUAAGUUGAAUGGCAAACUUCUGGAGCAAUUCUCCCCAUUCCGGGGUUUACGUCAAGGUGAUCCAUUGUCCCCAUUCUUGUUCUUAUUUGUUGCUGAUGCUCUUUCUGCAUUGUUGAACAAGUCAAUGGCGAACCAUGGUUUGGAGCCGGUGGUUAUUUGUCGGAACGCGUCGGCAAUAUCCCACCUACUAUUUGCAGACGAUUCCCUCUUAUUUUUUCGUGCAAGUGUUGAGCAAGCUACAGUUGUGAAGGAUGUUUUGACCAUGUAUGCAACGACUACUGGGCAAUUGAUUAAUCCGUCGAAGUGUUCCAUUCUUUUCUCUGGGAAUUGCCCUAGCACGGUUUCACAAGAGGUAAUGGGUAUUUUGGAGAUCACUCAGGAAAUAUUUGAUCCUAAGUAUCUUGGGUUGCCAGUGCCUACGGGCAGAAUGCAUAAAGGGCGGUUUCAAACUAUUCAAGCGAGACUAAGUAAGAGGCUAGUUGACUGGAGCGAGAAAUAUAUGGCGUCCUCUAGAAAAGAGAUUCUUAUUAAAUCAGUGGCUCAGGCAAUUCCCACUUAUGUGAUGAGUGUCUUUAAACUCCCUUAUUCAGUUUGUGACGAUCUUACAAGAAUGAUGCGUCAAUACUGGUGGGGAGUUGAGAAUGGUCAAGGGAAGAUGGCAUGGGUUGCUUGGGACAAGCUUACUCUUCCAAAGAAGAAAGGAGGCCUUGGUUUUAGGGAUAUGAGGGCCUUUCAUCAAGCACUCUUGGCCAAGCAAACAUGGCGGUUGAUUGUGAAACCAGAUAUUCUAUGUGCUCAUUUGUUGAAGGCUAGAUACUUCCCUAAUGGUAAUUUGGUUGAUAAGUAUUUUCAGGGAAUUCUUCUGCAGUUUGGAAAGGCAUUGAGCACGGUCUGGUGUUGCUGA
RNAcentral lists this ribosomal RNA (936 nucleotides) under Triticum aestivum (bread wheat). Its description in RNAcentral is "partial small subunit ribosomal RNA". Lineage: Eukaryota; Viridiplantae; Streptophyta; Magnoliopsida; Poales; Poaceae. The record is from RNAcentral.